GGCGGAGCCGCUGAGCUGAGAGCGCUGGGCUCGUAACCCGGAGGCCGCGGCCGCGGGUUCGCGUCCCGCCUCGGCCA
This 77-nucleotide transfer RNA is filed under the name Streptomyces sp. Root1310. RNAcentral's name for it is "tRNA-Thr". It matches the Rfam family "tRNA". From Rfam's summary of the family: Transfer RNA (tRNA) molecules are approximately 80 nucleotides in length. Their secondary structure includes four short double-helical elements and three loops (D, anti-codon, and T loops). The record is from RNAcentral. Lineage: Bacteria; Bacillati; Actinomycetota; Actinomycetes; Kitasatosporales; Streptomycetaceae.